GGGGAUUUAGCUCAGCGGUAGAGCACUUGCCUAGCAAGCGCAAGGCCCUGGGUUCAAUCCCCAGCUCCCA
This 70-nucleotide transfer RNA is filed under the name Rattus norvegicus (Norway rat). It matches the Rfam family "tRNA". Rfam says of the family: Transfer RNA (tRNA) molecules are approximately 80 nucleotides in length. Lineage: Eukaryota; Metazoa; Chordata; Mammalia; Rodentia; Muridae. The record is from Rfam by way of RNAcentral.